GCCCUCUUCUGUGUCCCCACCAAAUAGACCUGUGAAGCAACAAGAAUCUGCUGAUUUCUUUGAGCCGAACAUGGAGCCAAAAGUCGAAUCCUCACAGAUGGGCAGGCCACACCCUGAGACAAGUAGAUGGGCAGUGGAAUGGAGCAAUACAACAAUGGUGGCCUUGGAUCAGAAGAAGGUGUAGAUUAGAAGCUCCUUGGAACAAGGACCACGCACCUCACAUUUGUACAGUGAUGAAAAUUGAUGAAAAAUUACCAGCAAUAAGUUGAAAACCAGAGUGGAAUGUCCUUCAUAAUAAUUGGGUGCAGAUUUGUUCAAUAUAACUGCAGAUCCAGUGAUUCUGGAAUUACAUCAAGUGACGGAGAUUUGUCUCUUCUCUAAUGGCCAUGUUUAAAUUCCUGGGAUGCACAGAUGUAAUUUGUCUUGUUGAGUGUCUGCUUCCCUGUCCUUUCCUUACUUGAUGUACCAUAUGAAAUCAAGCCAGUGGCCAACAUCCCUAAAAACUAUAAGGAUGCAGUCUUGCCAGGGGCAUGCUCUUGCUGGAUGAAGUCCAAAAUAUCCACUUCUGAGAGCACGGGUGAUCAGUGAAAGCAGAGGAAACCACCCCCAGAGACCCACUGCAGUCCCUAGAGAUGUCUAGAGACUGUUCCACACUGGACUAUAGCCUUCUGACAUUCACAUGCAACUCUAGGCUACUUUCCAAUUCUACGGCCAUUGACCCAGUUCCAAGCUCUAUGGCUCCCCAAAAUUCUCCUGAUGGUGGCCAAAAAGCCAAAAACAAAACAAAACAAAAAAAGGAGGUAAGAGAGAACUGUCUGCCAGCAGAGAGUGAUAAGUGGUUCAGCAUCUCAAACACAGUGUGUAUAUCAAAAGGAAAAACAAAUAAACU
This is a non-coding RNA of Pogona vitticeps (central bearded dragon), 889 nucleotides long. The record is from RefSeq and is a predicted model, not a curated record. NCBI's taxonomy places the organism in Eukaryota, Metazoa, Chordata, Lepidosauria, Squamata, Agamidae.